AGCGAACGCUGGCGGCAGGCCUAACACAUGCAAGUCGAGCGCUCGUAGCAAUACGAGAGCGGCAGACGGGAGAGUAACACGUGGGAACGUACCCUUUGGUUCGGAACAACACAGGGAAACUUGUGCUAAUACCGAAUAAACCCUUACGAGGAAAGAUUUAUCGCCGAAGGAUCGGCCCGCGUCUGAUUAGCUAGUUGGUGGGGUAAUGGCUCACCAAGGCGACGAUCAGUAGCUGGCUGAGAGGAUGACCAGCCUCAUUGGGACUGAGACACGGCCCAAACUCCUACGGGAGGCAGCAGUGGGGAAUAUUGGACAAUGGGCGCAAGCCUGAUCCAGCCAUGCCGCGUGGAUGAUGAAGGCCUUAGGGUUGUAAAGUCCUUUUAACGGGGAAGAUAAUGACGGUACCCGUAGAAUAAGCCCCGGCUAACUUCGUGCCAGCCGCCGCCGUAAU
This 451-nucleotide ribosomal RNA is filed under the name uncultured bacterium. Its description in RNAcentral is "bacterial SSU rRNA". It matches the Rfam family "Bacterial small subunit ribosomal RNA", at positions 29 to 524 of the family's 1533-position model. The record is from RNAcentral.